GCCGUAGUUCAGGAGCAGAACAUCUGCUUUGUAGGCAGAAGAUCCCAGGUGCAACCCCUGGAAUCUCCA
Non-coding RNA from Podarcis lilfordi (Lilford's wall lizard), 69 nucleotides. NCBI's taxonomy places the organism in Eukaryota, Metazoa, Chordata, Lepidosauria, Squamata, Lacertidae. The record is from the annotation of a GenBank genome assembly.